CACGCCGUAAACGUUGGGCGCUAGGUGUGGGGGCCAUUCCACGGUCUCUGUGCCGUAGCUAACGCAUUAAGCGCCCCGCCUGGGGAGUACGGCCGCAAGGCUAAAACUCAAAGGAAUUGACGGGGGCCCGCACAAGCGGCGGAGCAUGUGGAUUAAUUCGAUGCAACGCGAAGAACCUUACCUGGGUUUGACAUGCACUAGACGCGUUCAGAGAUGGGCGUUCCCUUGUGGUUGGUGUGCAGGUGG
RNAcentral lists this ribosomal RNA (246 nucleotides) under uncultured Pseudonocardia sp. RNAcentral's name for it is "partial 16S ribosomal RNA". It matches the Rfam family "Bacterial small subunit ribosomal RNA", at positions 796 to 1041 of the family's 1533-position model. The record is from RNAcentral. Lineage: Bacteria; Bacillati; Actinomycetota; Actinomycetes; Pseudonocardiales; Pseudonocardiaceae.